UACGUAGGGUGGGAGCGUUAAUCGGAAUUACUGGGCGUAAAGCGUGCGCAGGCGGUUUUGUAAGCCAGAUGUGAAAUCCCCGGGCUUAACCUGGGAAUGGCAUUUGGGACUGCAAGGCUCGAGUGCGGCAGAGGAGACUGGAAUUCCUGGUGUAGCAGUGAAAUGCGUAGAUAUCUGGAGGAACACCGGUGGCGAAGGCGGCAUCCUGGACCGACAUUGACGCUGAUGAGCGAAAGCUAGGGGAGCAAACGGG
RNAcentral lists this ribosomal RNA (253 nucleotides) under uncultured bacterium. Its description in RNAcentral is "partial 16S ribosomal RNA". It matches the Rfam family "Bacterial small subunit ribosomal RNA", at positions 524 to 776 of the family's 1533-position model. The record is from RNAcentral.